RNAcentral lists this transfer RNA (76 nucleotides) under Candidatus Levybacteria bacterium RIFCSPHIGHO2_01_FULL_40_58. Its description in RNAcentral is "tRNA-Arg". It matches the Rfam family "tRNA". From Rfam's summary of the family: Transfer RNA (tRNA) molecules are approximately 80 nucleotides in length. Their secondary structure includes four short double-helical elements and three loops (D, anti-codon, and T loops). RNAcentral also lists the same sequence under 7 other names. The record is from RNAcentral. Lineage: Bacteria; Candidatus Levyibacteriota.
GUGCCCGUAGUUCAACGGAUAGAACACCUGGUUGCGGUCCAGGCGGUUGGAGGUUCGAUUCCUCUCGGGCACGCCA